AGUCGACGCGAAGUGGAGCAAUCCAUGAGUAGAGUGGCAAACGGGUGAGUAACGCGUGGGCGACCUACCUCAGAGUGGGGGAUAACAUUCCGAAAGGAGUGCUAAUACCGCAUGACAUCCUGCCUUUAGAUAGGUGGAGAUCAAAGCCGGGGAUCGCAAGACCUGGCGCUUGGAGAGGGGCCCGCGUCCGAUUAGCUAGUUGGUGAGGUAAUGGCUCACCAAGGCUCCGAUCGGUAUCCGGCCUGAGAGGGCGGACGGACACACUGGAACUGAGACACGGUCCAGACUCCUACGGGAGGCAGCAGUGGGGAAUUGUUCACAAUGGGCGCAAGCCUGAUGACGCAACGCCGCGUGGAGGAUGAAGACCUUCGGGUCGUAAACUCCUUUCGACCGAGAUGAAUUCCCGCCGACCUAAUACGUCGGCGGGGUGACAGUAUCGAGGGAAGCAGCCCCGGCUAACUCCGUGCCAGCAGCCGCGGUAAUACGGGGGGGGCAAGCGUUGUUCGGAAUUACUGGGUG
RNAcentral lists this ribosomal RNA (519 nucleotides) under uncultured bacterium. RNAcentral describes it as "bacterial SSU rRNA". It matches the Rfam family "Bacterial small subunit ribosomal RNA", at positions 60 to 560 of the family's 1533-position model. The record is from RNAcentral.